CAUACAGGAUGUUYGAAAGCUCCGGCGGUGCAGGAUGAGCCCGCGGCCUAUCAGCUUGUUGGUGAGGUAAUGGCUCACCAAGGCGACGACGGGUAGCCGGCCUGAGAGGGCGACCGGCCACACUGGGACUGAGACACGGCCCAGACUCCUACGGGAGGCAGCAGUGGGGAAUAUUGCACAAUGGGCGAAAGCCUGAUGCAGCGACGCCGCGUGAGGGAUGACGGCCUUCGGGUUGUAAACCUCUUUCAGCAGGGAAGAAGCGAAAGUGACGGUACCUGCAGAAGAAGCGCCGGCUAACUACGUGCCAGCAGCCGCGGUAAUACGUAGGGCGCGAGCGUUGUCCGGAAUUAUUGGGCGUAAAGAGCUCGUAGGCGGCUUGUCACGUCGGUUGUGAAAGCCCGGGGCUUAACCCCGGGUCUGCAGUCGAUACGGGCAGGCUAGAGUUCGGUAGGGGAGAUCGGAUUUCCUGGUG
This 472-nucleotide ribosomal RNA is filed under the name Streptomyces caelestis. RNAcentral describes it as "bacterial SSU rRNA". It matches the Rfam family "Bacterial small subunit ribosomal RNA", at positions 188 to 675 of the family's 1533-position model. Lineage: Bacteria; Bacillati; Actinomycetota; Actinomycetes; Kitasatosporales; Streptomycetaceae. The record is from RNAcentral.